UCGUGUUGUAUUUUAGAUGUGAACAGAAAAGAAAACCCGAAAAUUGUAAACACCACCCCUUUUAUUGUUUUAGUUGGUCAAGAAACAAAAGAAAAAAAAAAAAAAAAACCCCCCUACUGUUUCUCUCUCCCAUGGAAAACCAAACCCUCAUUCAUUCUCUUCCACCUUGAGCACCGUCUCUAUUUCUCUUCCCUGGGUUGCUGUUGGAACUCGUCGGUUUCCCUAGGCUCGUCGGAGCUUCGUCGUCUGCCACCACAAGCUAGCGGUGUUGCUCCCUACUUUUUCCUCUCUCCUCUGCUGUGUUACGUGUUGCUGCUGUUACUCUGUGGCGGCGUUGCUGGUGCUGCCACCGUGCGCGGUACUCUGAAUUUCUCUCUCUCCUUGUUUGUUGUUGUGUGGUGUUGUUGUCUUCGUUGUUGCUUCGUGGACCCCAGAGCUCCGAUUGUGGUGGCGGGUCGCUCGAGUUUGCCCGUCGUGAGUUGACAUUAGAGCAGGUUUCUUGUUGGAUUCGCGAAGUUUAAGGUGAGGACGGAAAUUCAUAGAGGAACUUUAUAUUCGAAGACUUCCAAAUGUAAAUUGUACUUGGGUUUAAAUAUGUAUUAGUUAUAUUAGUCUUGUUGAGGUUUUGAUUGAAGACUUCUUUGAUUAGUUUGUAAUACUGAUUAGUGCCAUUGGUCUUGUUGAGGUUUUGAUUGAAGAUUUCUUUGAUUAGUUUGUAAUACUGAUUAUUGCCAUUGGGCUUGAUUCCCUCUUGAGGUUGUUUCCGCGAAAGCGUUGACGGUUUUAGGUUUUGAUUGAAGAUUUCUUUGAUUAGUUUGUAAUACUGAUUAUUGCCAUUGGGCUUGAUUCCCUCUUGAGGUUGUUUCCGCGAAAGCGUUGACGGUUUUAGGUUUUGAGAUGAAGAAUAUUAUAUUUUAUUGAGUUUGUAAACAGGUUUAAAUUAUUUCCCACUUUGGGUUGUCCAAUUUUCA
Molecule: long non-coding RNA, 971 nt
Organism: Beta vulgaris subsp. vulgaris (sugar beet)
Lineage: Eukaryota; Viridiplantae; Streptophyta; Magnoliopsida; Caryophyllales; Amaranthaceae
Exons: 3
Source: RefSeq, a predicted model, not a curated record